RNAcentral lists this ribosomal RNA (461 nucleotides) under uncultured bacterium. Its description in RNAcentral is "SSU rRNA". It matches the Rfam family "Bacterial small subunit ribosomal RNA", at positions 26 to 518 of the family's 1533-position model. The record is from RNAcentral.
AGGACGAACGCUGGCGGCGUGCCUAACACAUGCAAGUCGAACGAGAAAGUGGUAGCAAUACCAUGAGUAAAGUGGCGCACGGGUGAGUAACACGUGACUAACCUACCCUUGAGUGGGGGAUAACUGAGGGAAACCUUAGCUAAUACCGCAUAAUACCCACGGGUCAAAGGAGCAAUUCGCUCGAGGAGGGGGUCGCGGCCGAUUAGUUAGUUGGCGGGGUAAUGGCCCACCAAGACGAUGAUCGGUAUCCGGCCUGAGAGGGCGCACGGACACACUGGAACUGAAACACGGUCCAGACUCCUACGGGAGGCAGCAGUGGGGAAUUUGCGCAAUGGGGGAAACCCUGACGCAGCAACGCCGCGUGGAGGAUGAAGUCCUUCGGGACGUAAACUCCUUUCGAUCGGGACGAUUAUGACGGUACCGGAAGAAGAAGCCCCGGCUAACUUCGUGCCAGCAGCCGC